GAUGAACGCUGGCGGCGUGCUUAACACAUGCAAGUCGAGCGAUGAAGUUUUCUUCGGGAAACGGAUUAGCGGCGGACGGGUGAGUAACACGUGGGUAACCUGCCUCAUAGAGUGGAAUAGCCUUUCGAAAGGAAGAUUAAUACCGCAUAAUGUUGAAAGAUGGCAUCAUCAUUCAACCAAAGGAGCAAUCUGCUAUGAGAUGGACCCGCGGCGCAUUAGCUAGUUGGGUGGGUAACGGCCUACCAAGGCGACGAUGCGUAGCCGACCUGAGAGGGUGAUCGGCCACAUUGGGACUGAGACACGGCCCAGACUCCUACGGGAGGCAGCAGUGGGGAAUAUUGCACAAUGGGGGAAACCCUGAUGCAGCAACGCCGCGUGAGUGAUGAAGGUUUUCGGAUCGUAAAGCUCUGUCUUUGGGGAAGAUAAUGACGGUACCCAAGGAGGAAGCCACGGCUAACUACGUGCCAGCCGCCGCGGUAA
This 480-nucleotide ribosomal RNA is filed under the name uncultured bacterium. Its description in RNAcentral is "partial 16S ribosomal RNA". It matches the Rfam family "Bacterial small subunit ribosomal RNA", at positions 28 to 523 of the family's 1533-position model. The record is from RNAcentral.